Molecule: non-coding RNA, 77 nt
Filed under: unclassified sequences
Source: RNAcentral
GAAGUAUCGCCACCGGGCGACAGCACUUACCAAACUCUUUAGGUCUUAGUAGAGUUCGGUAGGUGCUUUUAUUUUUG